AAUGAACGCUGGCGGCGCGCCUAAUACAUGCAAGUCGAGCGAGAAGACGUAGCAAUACGUUUGUAAAGCGGCGAACGGGUGAGGAAUACAUGGGUAACCUACCCUCGAGUGGGGAAGUAACUAGCCGAAGGUUAGCUAAUACCGCGUACGCUUCUUGGACUUCGGUUCAGGGAGGAAAGCGAUACCGUGGGUAUCGCGCUCUUGGAUGGGCUCAUGUCCUAUCAGCUUGNGGUGAGGUAACGGCUCACCAAGGCUUCGACGGGUAGCUGGUCUGAGAGGACGAUCAGCCACACUGGCACUGCGACACGGGCCAGACUCCUACGGGAGGCAGCAGUAAGGAAUAUUGCGCAAUGGGCGAAAGCCUGACGCAG
Molecule: ribosomal RNA, 371 nt
Filed under: uncultured bacterium
Lineage: Bacteria
Description: bacterial SSU rRNA
Rfam family: Bacterial small subunit ribosomal RNA
Source: RNAcentral